This 186-nucleotide small nucleolar RNA is filed under the name Rhinolophus ferrumequinum (greater horseshoe bat). RNAcentral's name for it is "Small nucleolar RNA U3 (ENSRFEG00010005714.1)". It matches the Rfam family "Small nucleolar RNA U3". From Rfam's summary of the family: Small nucleolar RNAs (snoRNAs) are involved in the processing and modification of rRNA in the nucleolus. The record is from Rfam by way of RNAcentral. Lineage: Eukaryota; Metazoa; Chordata; Mammalia; Chiroptera; Rhinolophidae.
AAAACUACCGUUUCAGGAACCAUUUCUAAAGCAUGUUACCAGAGGUGUUUCUCAACAAAGUAAAGCUUCAGAAACCCUGAUGAUGAUCUGUGUAGUACUCUCUUCUGAGUGUGAAGUUGGCCAGCAGUGCCACCUGGUGGGCUUACUGCUUUCUUCCUUAAGAGGGAGGGAACACAGCUGAGAGGC